UUCAUUUUUUCAUACCAAACGCUACCCUAACACCCUCUCUCCUCCCCUCCUUUGCCCUUUACCCUAACCCUAGCCACCACCUCAUUAUGUUUCUCUGUCAUGCCAAAAAUGACAACGCUAGAGAAGGCACGAGGUUUUUGCAUCCUUCAUACGACCGUUUAUAUGAUAUAAUUAAUGGUUUUGUCCUUGUUUCUACCUUCCUCAUUCCAAACGCGAGUUGGGAGCACAAAGGAGCUUUCGAGUCCCAUUCUUGACCAAGGCUAUAUUUAAAAAAGAGCACCUGGUCGGAUCUACUUCUCUGACCUUUCAGCUUCCACUCUAGUUUUCCAAGGUGAGCAUGGAGACCGCUGGCCUUGAAGACUCUUUGAUUACUUAUGUCUUACUUUCUACUCUGAGACAUGAUUUGAGACUACUUAUGUAUUAUUAUUCAGACUUGUAGUAUUUGGAUUUUGAUGCUCUUGUAUGACCAAACCGUAUACUGGGUUGGAUUUCAUUUACUUCCACACUAGUUGAUAUUAUAUUUUAUUAGUGAGACUUACGUUAUU
Long non-coding RNA from Lycium barbarum (goji berry), 545 nucleotides. RefSeq lists it as uncharacterized. Lineage: Eukaryota; Viridiplantae; Streptophyta; Magnoliopsida; Solanales; Solanaceae. The record is from RefSeq and is a predicted model, not a curated record. The transcript has 3 exons.